ACUGUCUGUUGAAGACCCCCCCCCCCCACCAAGCUGCCCACCAGAGGCCAAGCUGUACUUGGUGUUUGCCAACAUGCUGUAAUUUCCAGCCUGGUUGCUGUAGCCACAGAGGAAUUUUCAAGGACAAGAACCAGUGCUGGUAAAACUGUGGUCUCUGUGGUUUUCCAUACCGGCUCUCGGCAAGGAUUUUCAAGAAAGGAAUACCAUCUCCAAAUCAUGAUGUGCCAAUAAGCUCCAGUUAGCUGCGGCCUUUUCCCCAGGCGGUAGUCCUGCAAUCUGAAUCCAGGAGAUGCAGCUCUGAAUCCAAUAUUUCAGAAGAAUGAAGAU
Molecule: long non-coding RNA, 327 nt
Organism: Mya arenaria
Lineage: Eukaryota; Metazoa; Mollusca; Bivalvia; Myida; Myidae
Exons: 3
Source: RefSeq, a predicted model, not a curated record